GCUCAAUGAUAAAUUUUAAAUAGCCGCGGAAUUUUAACCGUGCUAAGGUAGCAUAAUCAUUAGCCUCUUAAUUAGAGGCUUGUAUGAAAGGUAAGACAUUUUAACUUCUUUUUUAAUUCCUUUUUUUCUAAUUUAAAUUAAGAGUUAAAAUGCUCUUAUUUGCAAAAAAGACGAUAAGACCCUUUUGAACUUUACUGAAGUUUAGCUGGGGCAGCUAAAUAAAUAAUAUCUUAUUUUUUUCCUUUUUUUUUAAAUGACCCAAUAGUAUUGAUUUUCUGAACAAGUUACCAUAGGGAUAACAGCGUAAUAUCUUUUUAAAGCUCUUAUUUAAAAAGGGGAUUGCGACCUCGAUGUUGAAUUAAUGUAACUUUUAUAAUGCAAUAAUUUUACAAGUAGGUCUGUUCGACCUUUAAUACAUUACAUGAUUUGAGUUCAAAUCGGUGUAAACCAGAUUGGUUUCUAUCUUUUUUUUAUACUUUUAUUUAGUACGAAAGGACCAAUAAAUUUAUUUUCAAUAUUCUUAUGGCAGAAAAAUGCGUUAGAUUUAGAAUCUACCCAUUUCUAAAUUUCUCCUCUUUUAAAUUCAAUU
This 589-nucleotide unclassified non-coding RNA is filed under the name Cyrtophora citricola. RNAcentral's name for it is "partial contains 16S ribosomal RNA and tRNA-Leu". It matches the Rfam family "Bacterial large subunit ribosomal RNA", at positions 1861 to 2766 of the family's 2925-position model. Lineage: Eukaryota; Metazoa; Arthropoda; Arachnida; Araneae; Araneidae. The record is from RNAcentral.